Molecule: ribosomal RNA, 497 nt
Filed under: uncultured bacterium
Lineage: Bacteria
Description: partial 16S ribosomal RNA
Rfam family: Bacterial small subunit ribosomal RNA
Source: RNAcentral
GACGAACGCUGGCGGCGUGCCUAAUACAUGCAAGUUGAGCGCUGAAGGUUGGUACUUGUACCAACUGGAUGAGCAGCGAACGGGUGAGUAACGCGUGGGGAAUCUGCCUUUGAGCGGGGGGCAACAUUUGGAAACGAAUGCUAAUACCGCAUAAAAACUUUAAACACAAGUUUUAAGUUUGAAAGAUGCAAUUGCAUCACUCAAAGAUGAUCCCGCGUUGUAUUAGCUAGUUGGUGAGGUAAAGGCUCACCAAGGCGAUGAUACAUAGCCGACCUGAGAGGGUGAUCGGCCACAUUGGGACUGAGACACGGCCCAAACUCCUACGGGAGGCAGCAGUAGGGAAUCCUCGGCAAUGGACGAAAGUCUGACCGAGCAACGCCGCGUGAGUGAAGAAGGUUUUCGGAUCGUAAAACUCUGUUGGUAGAGAAGAACGUUGGUGAGAGUGGAAAGCUCAUCAAGUGACGGUAACUACCCAGAAAGGGACGGCUAACUACGUG